CACCAACAAACACAGAGAAAGACAACACACAAACACUUUGGCCCUGCUGUGAGUGUAGAAACCAGGUAACCUGGCGACUCCCUUGGAUCCUACCAGUAUGGAGUUUAGCAAGUUUCAAUAGUGCAGAGUCCUCCUGACUCCCUCCAGGGGCCUGAAGUGUCCUCCAGAAUCCCCAGGGUCACAGAGUUAAGCCACAUCUGCCCUCUGCAAUUGACCCACACCAGGGUAGAGGCUUUCCAGCCAACACCAUGCUCAGGAGUCAAAAGUGAAAGCAAAAGACCAGAGACAAACAGCAGUAGGUGCCUGUUGCUGAGUUUGUCCUUUUGCACUCUGAUAGGUCUCCAGGGAUGGGGGCAGGGGUGUCUACCCAAAUUCAGGACGACCCUCCCACCCCACAACCCUCUUUCAGUGGUACUUACUUCGAGAUAACCCCGAGUGAGACACCGAGAUGCAGAUCAAUGGAAAAGCAAGAGGUUUAUUUUUCAUCACUUCAGGGUCAACCUUCAAUUAGUCCCUCAAGCAAGUGCAGACAGAGCUCAGCAGUUUGCAGUCCUCUGGUGAUCCCUGGAUGGAGUUUGCCAGCCACUUGAGAAUCUGCUGAGAUAUCAUAGACUCCCAGGGGCACAAGGUAUAAUUUCCUAGUAAUUGGAGAAGGAACAAUUGUGGGUCAAAAAUCUGCAGGUGGAUUGGUGUCCCCAUCCCUCCACUGGUGACCCUGUCUGACUACUAGAGGUGAGCACUUCCGGUCCCAUCUCCUCACUGGUGGGCAUUUGGGCCAAGGUCUCUCACAUCUCAGAUCUCUAGGACUUUCUAGGGGUUACCACCUUCCAUGAUGGCAUACCCCCCUCUCCCCGAGUGCCUCAACUCCCAUCACCCACCCCUGAGAACAGCAUGUUUCUAUUCAUUCUCCUGGCCCUC
Molecule: small RNA, 918 nt
Filed under: Rattus norvegicus (Norway rat)
Lineage: Eukaryota; Metazoa; Chordata; Mammalia; Rodentia; Muridae
Description: uncharacterized LOC108353311
Source: RNAcentral